This 1455-nucleotide long non-coding RNA is filed under the name Accipiter nisus (Eurasian sparrowhawk). RNAcentral's name for it is "lncRNA (ENSANIG00000015567.1)". Lineage: Eukaryota; Metazoa; Chordata; Aves; Accipitriformes; Accipitridae. The record is from RNAcentral.
AUGGAAACCAGUUUCUUCCCAUCUCUUAUCGCCCGGCAGCCAUGUGAGGAAAUGAGUUAUAAAGUCCAGAGGCCGCUUCCUACUGCGCCGGGAGCACCCGCCACCGCUGCCGGGGAUGCGCUGCCCAGCCCUGCGUGGUGGGGUGCACGUGGGGCGCCCCGGUCCCUCUGCCCGGGCUCCCUUUGGCCAAAUCCCGCUCCGAUGGCCCUGGGUGAGAAUGCCGGCUGGCCCCAGCCCUCCCCUCACCAGCGUGGGGCUGAGCGUUGGGGGUCUCGGCGUCAGCCCGUACCCCGGUGCGGGGCUGGAAGUGCCGGGAGCUCCCUUGGGGCUCCAGGAUCCCUCUCAGGUUUGGGGGUGUCCCCGUGCCAGCGCUCCCCGAGCUGCUGUAAUGCCCACCCGCAUCCCACCGCAUCCCGGUUGCCCCCUGCAGCGGGAAAGGGCGCCGUCCCCGGGGGGUACCCCAGAUCCGCCGGGUCGAGGGGCCACGGGCAGCCUCGCCGGCCGGCUUCCCCCCCGCCCCAACCCCGCUCGGAGCGUCCUGUUCCCGGCAGCGCCCCGUGGGCCGCGGGCGCGAAGGCACAGAUGCCGCCGCGUCGGCUGCCAAGGCGCUGCCAUCUGUGUGCGCCGGGCUGCCAGGCUGGGGCGGGGGGGGCACUGCUCCCCCUAACCACCCCACCUCGGCCUCAGGGCACUGCAGGGCUGGGUGUCCCCCAAAAUGGCAUCCUCAGGGCUCUCGGGGGGGGGCUUGGGGAGGGGUCCGGGACCCCACGGAGAGGAAGGAAGCACGGGAGGCCCGGUCGCCCACCCGCCUGCCUUUCUCUGUGGGGUCGUGGGGCUACCGUCAACCCCUCGGGGCUAUCGUGGCUGGCUAGUGCUGCCACCCCCCUAAACCCUGUCCCCCCCAGGCUGGGGGGGGUUCCCCCCUCCCCUGGGGCCGUGCUGUGUUUGUGUAGGCCCUACAGAAACAAGGGGUGGUGUGGCUGGGCAGAGGCUGGCCGGACUCCCCCGAGGGACCACCCAGGGCCGGUUCGGCGUUGUCACCCCGCGCCUGGGCCGCGUGUCACGGGAGGGGGCUGUGACCCAGCGGGGGGGAUCCCCAAAUCCUGCCUUCGGUGCUGCCGCCGGCAUCUGCGGUCCCACAGCCACCCCGUAGGGCCGCACCCCAACCCAGGCCAACCCCAGGACCCUUUAUUUUUGGGGUGCGGGUGUGGGGAGGUGCCGCCCGGCCGGGAGCGGAGCCUCAGCGGGUGCCGGGGCUGGUGCCAGCGCGGGGCCGGCGCGGCCGCUCAAACGGUCCUUUGUUCCCGACGGGGACACAAAGGGCUCCAGUCCGGCCUGACCGGGGCCAGCAGCCAGGGCUGGGGGGGCUAUGGCGGUAUGAGGGGGGGGCUACGGGAGCUGGGGUGCCCUGCAGGGCUGGCCUGCGAUGGGGUGCCGAGGCUGCAGAGCCGGUGA